This 500-nucleotide ribosomal RNA is filed under the name uncultured archaeon FF629. RNAcentral's name for it is "bacterial SSU rRNA". It matches the Rfam family "Archaeal small subunit ribosomal RNA", at positions 325 to 825 of the family's 1478-position model. The record is from RNAcentral. Lineage: Archaea; Methanobacteriati; Methanobacteriota; Methanomicrobia; Methanomicrobiales.
ACGGGGUGCAGCAGGCGCGAAAACUUUACAAUGCGGGAAACCGCGAUAAGGGGAUACCGAGUGCCAGCAUAUUAUGUUGGCUGUCCACAUGUGUAAACGGCAUGUGUUAGCAAGGGCCGGGCAAGACCGGUGCCAGCCGCCGCGGUAACACCGGCGGCCCGAGUGGUAAUCAUUUUUAUUGGGUCUAAAGGGUCCGUAGCCGGUUUGAUCAGUUCUUCGGGAAAUCUGACAGCUCAACUGUUAGGCUUCCGGGGAAUACUGUCAGACUUGGGACCGGGAGAGGUAAGAGGUACUACAGGGGUAGGAGUGAAAUCUUGUAAUCCCUGUGGGACCACCAGUGGCGAAGGCGUCUUACCAGAACGGGUCCGACGGUGAGGGACGAAAGCUGGGGGCACGAACCGGAUUAGAUACCCGGGUAGUCCCAGCCGUAAACGAUGUUCGCUAGGUGUCAGGAACGGUGCGACCGUUUCUGGUGCCGUAGGGAAGCCGUGAAGCGAGCC